ACUCAAAGGAAUUGACGGGGGCCCGCACAAGCGGUGGAGCAUGUGGUUUAAUUCGAUGCAACGCGAAGAACCUUACCUGGGCUUGACAUGGGGGUGACCGGUCGAGAGAUCGACUUUUCUCUUCGGAGACACCCCGCACAGGUGCUGCAUGGCUGUCGUCAGCUCGUGUUGUGAGAUGUUCGGUUAAGUCCGGCAACGAGCGCAACCCUCGUCCUUAGUUGCUAACGGGUUAUGCCGAGCACUCUAGGGAGACUGCCGCGGACAACGCGGAGGAAGGUGGGGACGACGUCAAGUCCUCAUGGCCCUUACGCCCAGGGCUACACACGUGCUACAAUGGUCGGUACAAUGGGAUGCAAUGCCGCGAGGCGGAGCUAAUCCUUAAAGCCGGCCUCAGUUCGGAUUGGAGGCUGCAACUCGCCUCCAUGAAGCUGGAAUCGCUAGUAAUCGUGGAUCAGCAUGCCACGGUGAAUACGUUCCCGGGCCUUGUACACACCGCCCGU
Molecule: ribosomal RNA, 500 nt
Filed under: uncultured bacterium
Lineage: Bacteria
Description: partial 16S ribosomal RNA
Rfam family: Bacterial small subunit ribosomal RNA
Source: RNAcentral